Molecule: ribosomal RNA, 613 nt
Filed under: Cytospora leucostoma
Lineage: Eukaryota; Fungi; Ascomycota; Sordariomycetes; Diaporthales; Cytosporaceae
Description: partial 28S large subunit ribosomal RNA
Rfam family: Eukaryotic large subunit ribosomal RNA
Source: RNAcentral
UUGCAUAUCCAAUAGCGGAGGAAAAGAAACCAACAGGGAUUGCCCUAGUAACGGCGAGUGAAGCGGCAACAGCUCAAAUUUGAAAGCUGGCUCCGGCCCGCAUUGUAAUUUGCAGAGGAUGCUUUUGGCGAGGUGCCUUCCGAGUUCCCUGGAACGGGACGCCAUAGAGGGUGAGAGCCCCGUAUGGAUGGACACCAAACCUGUGUAAAGCUCCUUCAACGAGUCGAGUAGUUUGGGAAUGCUGCUCUAAAUGGGAGGUAAAUCUCUUCUAAAGCUAAAUACCGGCCAGAGACCGAUAGCGCACAAGUAGAGUGAUCGAAAGAUGAAAAGCACCUUGAAAAGGGGGUUAAACAGUACGUGAAAUUGUUGAAAGGGAAGCAUUUAUGACCAGACUUGCGCCGGGCAGCUCAUCAGGGGUUCUCCCCUGUGCACUCUGCCCGGCUCAGGCCAGCAUCGGUUCUCGUGGGAGGAUAAGAACAGUGGGAACGUGGCCCCCUCUCGGGGGGGUGUUAUAGCCCAUUGUACGAUACUCUCGUGGGGACCGAGGUUCGCGCUCCGCAAGGAUGCUGGCGUAAUGGUCAUCAAUGACCCGUCUUGAAACACCGGACCCAAA